Molecule: ribosomal RNA, 120 nt
Filed under: Petromyzon marinus (sea lamprey)
Lineage: Eukaryota; Metazoa; Chordata; Hyperoartia; Petromyzontiformes; Petromyzontidae
Source: RNAcentral
UCCGAUGACCAAAUCACCCCAGAUGCUCGCCAUCCCAUUGGCUCUCGGAGGCAAAUCAGGGUUGUUUCUGCUUAGUUACUUGCAUGAGAGACCACCUGGGAAUAACAUAUGCUAUUAUAA